Non-coding RNA from Nicotiana tabacum (common tobacco), 1021 nucleotides. NCBI's taxonomy places the organism in Eukaryota, Viridiplantae, Streptophyta, Magnoliopsida, Solanales, Solanaceae. The record is from RefSeq and is a predicted model, not a curated record.
CCAAGACUAAAAAAAUCCCUACCCAAAAAAAGAGGAGACCAGCGGCAGAACUCAACGGACAACCCAUCGCCCGUCUUCUUCUUCAACCUCUUGAAUGCCAAAAAACCAGAACCCCCUUAAACCUUCAACCUUCACAAACCAGCAACCACCCCUUUCAAAAAAUCCAUCUUCCCCGCCUCUCCCGUCGCCUGAGACAGCAAUAAAAGCACACACACACACAUGGAAAGGCGGAAACAUUGACGCACACACACAUGGGGAUAUUGGAAAACAAAAACAUAAAAGUGAAAACGAGCAAAGAACAUAAUAGAAAUUGAAAUCCAUUAAUCUUUGUCCUUAAAAAUAAAUCUUGACCCAUAAGCUUUCUGUCAGCCCAUCAACCAUAAAUUCCGGUCAGGCCUUUGAGCUUCGGUGUUUUCUGGGUCGAGUAGAGGUCGGGUUCGUCGACAAGAUUUGAAUUUCUCCGGUGAGGUUCGGUCAGUCCGCCGUUUGUCAAAUUCCGUUCGUGGUCUUGGUCACGCCCCUAUCCUUUUGGGAGCUUCAAAACAGUCAAGUCCGGAUUCGCUUUCAGAGGAACAUGCUUAGGCCAACCACCCUUGGGGAGGCAAGCCUUAGGAGUUUUGUUAGUUUUGAGGUGAGAGGCUGCUCCCUUAGUUAAAUUUACUCGGGGAAUGCCCCGAGAGAUUUGUAUAUAUUUUAUUUCAGGGGUAUGCCCCGAAGUGAAUGUAAUUAGAGGCAGGAACAAACAUCGUAGAAGAAAUAGCGUAGGAUAAUUUAGAACUUUAAUUUUUCUUCUUUUAAUUUCCUUUCAUUUAGGUGGGGAUGACCUCGAGCCUCUUUUGAUUGUUUAUUUUCUUUUUGUGUGUUAUUACCUCAAUUCGAAUAUUUUAAAAGCCGACUUGAUCAAGUAUGAAACCGUACUAGUUACAGGACUUGGGGAGUGCCUAACACCUUCUCCCCGAGUCAAAUGAACCCCCUUACCCGAAUCUCUGGUGCAGAUUUAGUUUUGGAGUUUCAAGUGUUU